GUACAGGAUAGGUAGGAGCCUAUGAAAUCGGGACGCUAGUUUCGGUGGAGGCGUUGUUGGGAUACUACCCUUGUGUUAUGGCUACUCUAACCUAGAUAGGCUAUCCCUAUCGGAGACAGUGUCUGACGGGCAGUUUGACUGGGGCGGUCGCCUCCUAAAAGGUAACGGAGGCGCCCAAAGGUUCCCUCAGAAUGGUUGGAAAUCAUUCGCAGAGUGUAAAGGUAUAAGGGAGCUUGACUGCGAGAGCUACAACUCGAGCAGGGACGAAAGUCGGGCCUA
RNAcentral lists this ribosomal RNA (279 nucleotides) under Staphylococcus sp. HMSC061G12. RNAcentral's name for it is "partial 23S ribosomal RNA". It matches the Rfam family "Bacterial large subunit ribosomal RNA", at positions 2136 to 2414 of the family's 2925-position model. The record is from RNAcentral. Lineage: Bacteria; Bacillati; Bacillota; Bacilli; Caryophanales; Staphylococcaceae.